GCUUGUCUCAAAGAUUAAGCCAUGCAUGUAUAAGUUUAAUCGUUUAUCGAGAAACCGCGAACGGCUCAUUAGAAUGGCCAUUAUUUACUUGAUCUUGAUUGUCUAAAUGGAUAACUGUGGAAAAGCUAGAGCUAAUACAUGCACUAAAGCUUUGUCCUUWCGGAAAAGCGCAUUUAUUAGAACAAAACCACGCGGCUUCGGCUGCUUCUUGUUGACUCAGAAUAACUWAGCUGACCGCAUGGCCUUGUGCCGGCGGCGUGUCUUUCAAGCGUCCACUUUAUCAACUUGACGGGAGCAUAAUCGACUCCCGUGGUGGUGACGGAUAACGGAGGAUCAGGGUUCGACUCCGGAGAAGGGGCCUGAGAAAUGGCCACUACGUCUAAGGAUGGCAGCAGGCGCGCAAAUUACCCACUCUCGGCUCCAGGAGGUAGUGACGAGAAAUAACGAGACUGUUCUCUUUGAGGCCGGUCAUCGGAAUGGGUACAAUUUAAACCCUUUAACGAGUAUCAAGCAGAGGGCAAGUCUGGUGCCAGCAGCCGCGGUAAUUCCAGCUCUGCAAAUACAUAGAAUUAUUGCUGCGGUUAGAAAGCUCRUAGUUGGAUUCGUAUCGRUACCUUGGAACCCUUCGGGUGUCUCURGGUGUUAUCGAUUUAUCGUAAUGUUCGGUCUUGAGUCCUUAACAGGAUUCUUAACAGGCAUUGCAAGUUUACUUUGAACAAAUCAGAGUGCUUCAAACAGGCGUUUUCGCUUGAAUGAUCGUGCAUGGAAUAAUAGAAAAUGAUUUCGGUUCAGUUUUAUUGGUUUUACGGACUGAGAUAAUGGUUAACAGAGACAAACGGGGGCAUUUGUAUGGUCCCGUGAGAGGUGAAAUUCUUGGACCGUGGCCAGACAAACUACAGCGAAAGCAUUUGCCAAGAAUGUUUUUAUUAAUCAAGAACGAAAGUCAGAGGUUCGAAGGCGAUCAGAUACCGCCCUAGUUCUGACCGUAAACGAUGCCAACUAGCGAUCCGCCGAUGGAAAUUAUAUUGCCUUGGUGGGGAGCUUCCCGGAAACGAAAGUCUUCCGGUUCCGGGGGAAGUAUGGUUGCAAAGCUGAAACUAAAGGAAUUGACGGAAGGGCACCCCCAGGAGUGGAGCCUGCGGCUUAAUUUGACUCAACACGGGGAAACUCACCCCGGCCCGGACACUGUGAGGAUUGACAGAUUGAUAGCUUUUUCAUGAUUCAGUGGAUGGUGGUGCAUGGCCGUUCUUAGUUCGUGGAGUGAUUUGUCUGGUUUAYUCCGAUAACGAGCGAGACUCUAACCUACUAAAUAGYUGGUACAUACUCUUAGUGUAUACAGCUUCUUAGAGGGAUUUGCGGYGUUCAGCCGAAAGAAAUUGAGCAAUAACAGGUCUGUGAUGCCCUUAGAUGUCCGGGGCUGCACGCGCGCUACACUGGCAAAAUCAACGUGCUUGUCCUACCCYGAAAGGGGCGGGUAAACCAUUGAAAAUUUGCCGUGAUUGGGAUCGGAAAUUGCAAUUAUUUUCCGUGAACGAGGAAUUCCAAGUAAGUGCGAGUCAUCAGCUCGCGUUGAUUACGUCCCUGCCCUUUGUACACACCGCCCGUCGCUGCCCGGGACUGAGCCAUUUCGAGAAAUUUGGGGACCGUUGAUUUAAUUUUUCUAAAUUACUUUGAUGGAAACCAAUUUAAUCGCAGUGGCUUGAACCGGGCAAAAGUCGUAACAAGGUAGCUGUAGGUGAACCUGCGGCAGGAUCA
Molecule: ribosomal RNA, 1755 nt
Filed under: Meloidogyne arenaria
Lineage: Eukaryota; Metazoa; Nematoda; Chromadorea; Rhabditida; Meloidogynidae
Description: SSU rRNA
Rfam family: Eukaryotic small subunit ribosomal RNA
Source: RNAcentral